This is a long non-coding RNA of Helianthus annuus (common sunflower), 250 nucleotides long. RefSeq lists it as uncharacterized. The transcript is spliced from 3 exons. The record is from RefSeq and is a predicted model, not a curated record. Lineage: Eukaryota; Viridiplantae; Streptophyta; Magnoliopsida; Asterales; Asteraceae.
ACAUCCUCACUUUUCUGAAACCCUAAAUCCCAAAAUACCGAUUCUCCUUCAAUUGUUCUUCGUCGAUUCAUCAUUCUCAAUGGCCAGUCGGCGCUAGGGUUACGCCGUGAACCCUUGAUAACGACGGAAUUGCAUGCUACAGAACAGACAAUCGAAGCUUUAUUCAUAUCACAAACCCUAUAGCUAAAUUUGUGAGAUUCAUUUUUCAAACAUCGACGAUCUGUGGAUGGUUUUGGUUUCUCUAACGACU